Molecule: microRNA precursor, 100 nt
Filed under: Pelobates cultripes (western spadefoot toad)
Lineage: Eukaryota; Metazoa; Chordata; Amphibia; Anura; Pelobatidae
Source: RNAcentral
CUACUCCCCCGCCCUUGCGCGCUACUUAAUUAGACCGGGGGCGGAAUAUGACGUCAUAUUCCAGCCCGGUCUAAUUAAGUAGCGCGCGAGGGCGGGGGAG